UCUAAAAUGGCAGAUCAGUGCACAGGACUUAAGCUCCUGAUAGGAAAUUUAUUUCUUUUAGAA
This 63-nucleotide transfer RNA is filed under the name Oplophorus spinosus. RNAcentral describes it as "tRNA-Leu". Lineage: Eukaryota; Metazoa; Arthropoda; Malacostraca; Decapoda; Oplophoridae. The record is from RNAcentral.